UCUCUGCUGUUGUAUUUUACAUUGUUUCCAGUGUUCAUAUAUUAAAAUUGCUCACAUUGUAUGAAAUUUCAGUAGUGCUGGAAGUGUGGUUUCCAGCAAAUAUUACCUUUGUUGGAAUUUAGUUAAGAAACGCAUUUUGUCAAAUUCACAGUUCUUGAUGUUUUAACUAAUUUUCAGUUUUGUAAGUUGGUUUUCUAGGCAAAGGUGGUCUAUUGGUUUUUCUAGGAGUAAAUAAAUUAGUCUUUAUAUGGAGAUUACAAACUCUAUUUUUUUCUAUUGAGGAGAGGGAACAUAGUGGCCAAACUGAAAAUACUACUGAAGUUCCAGCCUUUCUUGUUUUCCCAGGGUAGUCCAGGCUUGGGGAGCUCUACCUCACGUGUUAGAGCAGCUCUGCCUCCUGUGCCGGGUGUCCUUGGGACUCCUGGGGAUGGGACCCUCCUGUGCCGGGUGUCCUUGGGACUCCUGGGGACGGGACCCUCCUGUGCCUGCUUUUGGACCAGACGUAUGUGCACUUUCAGAUCCAUGUUUUGUAUGGUGUCUAAGCUGUAGUCUGUUCUAUCUUGUUUUUUCUUAGAGCUUUGUCAUUCUGAUCUGUGUGUCAUUGCUUUGCAUUUGAUGCAAAGGGAAACUCAUAAAGUGAACUUGUUUGGAAGUACCCCAAGAGUCACAUCUGGAGGUGCAGUGUGAAAGUGUGUAGUGUGGAUCUUCAUUGCAUGUUCCAUGUACGUCGUGUUUGUGUCUUGAGAGAGGAGAAGCAGGCCUGCUUGUGUACCUGUCAAGGCUGUUGGAGAAGGUGCUGUGUUUCAGGGAAGGGAGAAAAGGAACCAGUGUGCAUUUAUGUGGAAAAUCACCAGCAGGCCCAAGUUGGCCUUCCUGUGAUAAUGAAAGACAUUCUAGGAGCAGAUAGGAACAUAGGAUGCUGUUCUGAGUCAGCUGAGUUACACUUUGGGCUAUUUACUUACCUGUGUAUACUGCUCCAUUAUUAUUUGUUUGCAGUAGGGUUUUCCCGUCUUUCCAAGAUCUUCCAGUAGGCCAGUUCCGAGCCCAGUGGAGAAGGAAGGAGUU
Ochotona curzoniae (black-lipped pika) is the source of this 1065-nucleotide long non-coding RNA. RefSeq lists it as uncharacterized. The record is from RefSeq and is a predicted model, not a curated record. The transcript is spliced from 3 exons. Lineage: Eukaryota; Metazoa; Chordata; Mammalia; Lagomorpha; Ochotonidae.